This 474-nucleotide ribosomal RNA is filed under the name uncultured bacterium. RNAcentral describes it as "bacterial SSU rRNA". It matches the Rfam family "Bacterial small subunit ribosomal RNA", at positions 328 to 794 of the family's 1533-position model. The record is from RNAcentral.
CCCCCAGACUCCUACGGGAGGCAGCAGUGGGGAAUAUUGCACAAUGGGCGCAAGCCUGAUGCAGCCAUGCCGCGUGUAUGAAGAAGGCCUUCGGGUUGUAAAGUACUUUCAGCGAGGAGGACGGCGAUAAGGUUAAUAACCUUGUCGAUUGACGUUACCCGCAAAAGAAGCACCGGCUAACUCCGUGCCAGCAGCCGCGGUAAUACGGAGGGGGCAAGCGUUAAUCGGAAUUACUGGGCGUAAAGCGCACGCAGGCGGUCUGUCAAGUCGGAUGUGAAAUCCCCGGGCUCAACCUGGGAACUGCAUUCGAAACUGGCAGGCUGGAGUCUUGUAGAGGGGGGUAGAAUUCCAGGUGUAGCGGUGAAAUGCGUAGAGAUCUGGAGGAAUACCGGUGGCGAAGGCGGCCCCCUGGACAAAGACUGACGCUCAGGUGCGAAAGCGUGGGGAGCAAACAGGAUUAGAUACCCCAGUAAA